Molecule: unclassified non-coding RNA, 520 nt
Filed under: uncultured Glomus
Lineage: Eukaryota; Fungi; Glomeromycota; Glomeromycetes; Glomerales; Glomeraceae
Description: SSU rRNA
Rfam family: Eukaryotic small subunit ribosomal RNA
Source: RNAcentral
CGCAGCCGCGGUAAUUCCAGCUCCAAUAGCGUAUAUUAAAGUUGUUGCAGUUAAAAGCUCGUAGUUGAAUUUCGAGACCGGUUUAUUGGUCGUGCUUUUGUACGUACUGGUAUUAUUGGUUUCUCCUUUCUGACGAAUCUUAAUGCCAUUAAUUUGGUGCUUUGGGGAAUCAGGACUGUUACUUUGAAAAAUUAGAGUGUUUAAAGCAGGCUCACGCUUGAAUACAUUAGCAUGGAAUAACGGAAUAGGACGUUUGAUUCUAUUUUGUUGGUUUCUAGGAUCGACGUAAUGAUUAAUAGGGAUAGUUGGGGGCAUUAGUAUUCAAUUGUCAGAGGUGAAAUUCUUGGAUUUAUUGAAGACUAACUACUGCGAAAGCAUUUGCCAAGGAUGUUUUCAUUUAAUCAAGAACGAAAGUUAGGGAUCGAAGACGAUCAGAUACCGUCGUAGUCUUAACCAUAAACUAUGCCGACUAGGGAUCGGAUGAUGUUAAUUUUUAAUGUACUCAUUCGGCGUCCGUUAC